AUGAACGCUGGCGGCGUGCCUAAUACAUGCACGUCGAGCGAACAGACGAGGAGCUUGCUCCUCUGACGUUAGCGGCGGACGGGUGAGUAACACGUGGAUAACCUACCUAUAAGACUGGGAUAACUUCGGGAAACCGGAGCUAAUACCGGAUAAUAUAUUGAACCGCAUGGUUCAAUAGUGAAAGACGGUUUUGCUGUCACUUAUAGAUGGAUCCGCGCCGCAUUAGCUAGUUGGUAAGGUAACGGCUUACCAAGGCAACGAUGCGUAGCCGACCUGAGAGGGUGAUCGGCUACACUGGAACUGAGACACGGUCCAGACUCCUACGGGAGGCAGCAGUAGGGAAUCUUCCGCAAUGGGCGAAAGCCUGACGGAGCAACGCCGCGUGAGUGAUGAAGGUCUUCGGAUCGUAAAACUCUGUUAUUAGGGAAGAACAAAUGUGUAAGUAACUAUGCACGUCUUGACGGUACCUAAUCAGAAAGCCACGGCUAACUACGUG
This 496-nucleotide ribosomal RNA is filed under the name uncultured bacterium. RNAcentral describes it as "partial 16S ribosomal RNA". It matches the Rfam family "Bacterial small subunit ribosomal RNA", at positions 29 to 507 of the family's 1533-position model. The record is from RNAcentral.